GGGAGCCGUCAAAGCCGAUGACGGACGGAACCACCGGGGAUUCCUGGGCCGAUCAGCUGGAGAGAGGAACAAACCAAUGACGGAAAGGUUGUAUCUCUUCCUCACAUGGUGGACAUUUCCUUCACAGAUAGGAACGUUUAUGAGCAAGUCCUGUUCUUUCCCACAAGGGCAGCAUCAGUAGCCUCUACAUUUAUUUCCCUUGGCUCCGAUCAAAGUCCCGACUAUUCCAAGCGAGGCAUCUCAAAAUGUUAUUCGUGUUCCAUGUUGACCAUGAGGUGGGGUCUCUAUCUUGAAGAUAUUGAAGGUGUUUGCUCAGAAAAUAAGCCAUGGCGCUAAAUGUAUUUUGUACAGUAGCGCAUCUCAGCCCAUGAAGUAAAUACUGAUGAGCCGGCCACACAUAUAUUAGUUCACGUGUCAAUAGAUAGUGUCAAUUCUGUGCCGCUAAUGUGAGGGAGAGCCACUUGGAAACAAGCUCUAAAUGGAUUCUAUAGGAAAUCUAUGCCAGCACGUAUGUCCAUAAAUGAGUCUUUCCUAUCUUUUAAUGCCAUCUGAAGAUAGGCAGCCCUGCUUGUUAUUGACUGGAGGACAACCCACAUCGCCGCUCAAGGAUUCACACCGAGGGUGUUUAUCAGAAAAACGGGAUUACCUUGAUGUCUGAUAACUGUGAAAAUGCCAGCGUGGGUUUAAACAAGCACACUCGGUGGAUAGCAGAUGUUUAUUAUGGAUGUAAAGCCUUCAGGGAUUUGCAGGCCUUUACCAAGCAAGGAUUCCCAUUUGGUCACUUAGGGGUUGAACACGCAUGUUUUACAGUGUAACAUAGGACUACACACGCGGACAAAAUUGUUGACCCCUCUGUUAAGGAAAGAAAAACCCACAGUGUUCACUGAAAUAACUUGGAUCAAACAAAAAAUAAAAUAAAAAUGUCAU
Molecule: long non-coding RNA, 927 nt
Organism: Hippocampus comes (tiger tail seahorse)
Lineage: Eukaryota; Metazoa; Chordata; Actinopteri; Syngnathiformes; Syngnathidae
Exons: 3
Source: RefSeq, a predicted model, not a curated record